UCUGUCUUAGUGGCGGACGGGUGAGUAACGCGUGGGCAACCUGCCCUGUACCGGGGGAUAACACUUAGAAAUAGGUGCUAAUACCGCAUAAUAGGGAAUACCGCAUGGUAAUCCUUUGAAAACUCCGGUGGUACAGGAUGGGCCCGCGUCUGAUUAGCCAGUUGGCGGGGUAACGGCCCACCAAAGCGACGAUCAGCAGCCGGCCUGAGAGGGUGGACGGCCACACUGGGACUGAGACACGACCCAGACUCCUACGGGAGGCAGCAG
RNAcentral lists this ribosomal RNA (267 nucleotides) under uncultured bacterium. Its description in RNAcentral is "partial 16S ribosomal RNA". It matches the Rfam family "Bacterial small subunit ribosomal RNA", at positions 86 to 354 of the family's 1533-position model. The record is from RNAcentral.